Molecule: ribosomal RNA, 1410 nt
Filed under: uncultured bacterium
Lineage: Bacteria
Description: bacterial SSU rRNA
Rfam family: Bacterial small subunit ribosomal RNA
Source: RNAcentral
GAGUUUGAUCCUGGCUCAGAGUGAACGCUGGCGGUGCGCCUAACACAUGCAAGUCGAGUGGGUUCAGACCCACGGCAGACGGCUGCGUAACACGUUGGUACCUACCCCGAACUCAGGGAUAUCCCGCCGAAAGGCGGAGUAAUACCGGAUGCCCCGUCUUCGCUCUUUGCUUCGCAAAGAGCUACGCCGCGGCUAGCCUCGCAAGAGGCCUGCCACGGCGAAGCCCUUACGGAGUAAGGAGCGGAGCCGGGAAAGAUUUAUCGGUUCGGGAGGGGCCUGCGGCCUAUCAGAUAGUUGGCGGGGUAACGGCCCACCAAGUCUAUGACGGGUAGCUGAUUUGAGAGAAUGAUCAGCCAGAAUGGAACUGCGACACGGUCCAUACUCCUACGGGAGGCAGCAGUGAGGAAUCUUCCGCAAUGGGCGAAAGCCUGACGGAGCGACACCGCGUGAAGGAUGAAGCCCUUUCCGGGCGUAAACUUCUGUUCUGAGGGACGAAAUUUUUGACGGUACCUCAGGAGAAAGCAUCGGCAAACCCUGUGCCAGCAGCCGCGGUAAGACAGGGGAUGCAAGCGUUACUCGGAAUUACUGGGCGUAAAGCGUCUGCAGGUUUCCUGCCACGUCUGAAGUCAAAUGGCGAUGCUUAACAUCGUCAACGCUUCGGAAACGAGCGGGAUAGAGUCACCCAGAGGCAUCUGGAAUGUCGUGUGUAGGGGUAAAAUCCGUAGAUCCACGAUGGAACGCCGAAAGCGAAGGCAGGAUGCUGGGGGUGCACUGACACUCAGAGACGAAAGCGUGGGGAGCAAAGGGGAUUAGAUACCCCCGUAGUCCACGCCCUAAACUAUGCGGGCUCGGUGUAGGAACUUUUCAAUUGGUUUCUGUGCCUUAGCUAACGCGGUAAGCCCGCCGCCUGAGAAGUACGGCCGCAAGGCUAAAACUCAAAGGAAUAGACGGGGACCCACACAAGCGGUGGAACAUGGGGUUUAAUUCGAUGGUAAACGAAGCACCUCACCCAGGCUUGACAUCUCAGAAAUCCGGCAGAAACGUCGGAGUGCCGCAAGGAAUCUGAAGACAGGCGAUGCACGGUCGUCGUCAGCUCGUGCCUUGAGGUGUACUGUUCAGUCAGCGAACGAGCGCAACCCUCAUCCUCUGUUGUUUUUUCAGGGGAGACUGCCGCCUCCAAGGCGGAGGAAGGUGGGGAUGACGUCAGAUCAGCGUGUCCUUUAUGCCUGGGGCUACACCCAUGUUACAAUGGUCGAUACAGAGGGCAGCGAACCCGCAAGGGGGAGCCAAUCCCACCAAAAUCGAUCUCAGUUCGGAUUGCCGACUGCAACUCGCCGGCAUGAAGUUGGAAUCGCUAGUAACCGUAGGUCAGCGAUACUACGGUGAAUAUGUUCCUGGUCUUGUACACAC